This 810-nucleotide ribosomal RNA is filed under the name uncultured archaeon. Its description in RNAcentral is "bacterial SSU rRNA". It matches the Rfam family "Archaeal small subunit ribosomal RNA", at positions 85 to 879 of the family's 1478-position model. The record is from RNAcentral.
ACUGCUCAGUAACACGUAGACAACCUACCUUAAGGAGAGGGAUAACCUCGGGAAACUGAGGACAAUACCCCAUAGAUUACAAGUCCUGGAAAGGCAGUAAUCCAAAAGAUAUUGAUCUAAUGCCGAAUGAUAUUGCCUUAAGAUGGGUCUGCGGCGGAUUAGGCUGACGGCGGGGUAACGGCCCACCGUACCUUUGAUCCGUACCGGCUAUGAGAGUAGGAGCCGGGAGAUGGAUACUGAGACAAAGAUCCAGGUUCUACGGAACGCAGCAGUCGCGAAACCUCCGCAAUGUCCGAAAGGAUGACGGGGGGACCCUAAGUGAUCCGUUACAAACGGGUCUUUUGUAUGACCUAAAAAGUCGUACGAAUAAGGGCUGGGUAAGACUGGUGCCAGCCUCCGCGGUAACACCAGCAGCUCAAGUUGUGCCCACGUUUAUUGGGUUUAAAGCGUACGUAGUCGGUGAUGCAAGUUCCCUGUAAAAUUCUCUGGCUUAACCAGGGAAACGCAGAGAAUACUACACCACUAGGGGUCGGGAGAGGUAUGAGGUAUUCCUCGGGUAGCGGUGAAAUGCUAUAAUCCUAGGAAGACCACCAGUAGCGUAGGCGUCAUACUAGAACGAGCCCGACGAUGAGGAACGAGAGCUAGGGGAGCAAACCGGAUUAGAUACCCGGGUAGUCCUAGCCGUAAACGAUGUAGACUGAGUGUCUCCAUACCCUCGGGGUACGGAGGUGCUGAAGGGAAACCGUUAAGUCUACCAUCUGGGAAGUACGGUCGCAAGGCUGAAACUUAAAGGAAUUGGCGGGGGAGCAC